GUAAUCAUAUAUACGGUCGUGUCGCGUAAUGUGUACGUAUACAUAUGUAGUUAAAAAAUUAUUAUGUAAUUUUGCUUUUUAGGUUAGCAGUACUGCAUUCUUAGCAAUUCACAUUAAGCUAAUUGAACUACAAGAUUCUUCAAACGAGUGUUUUAUGAUCAUAAUUAAAAUUAUCUUAUGUAUCAAACCAACUUCACUAAAGAC
This 204-nucleotide long non-coding RNA is filed under the name Prunus persica (peach). RNAcentral describes it as "long non-coding RNA (PPER_LNC007616)". The record is from RNAcentral. Lineage: Eukaryota; Viridiplantae; Streptophyta; Magnoliopsida; Rosales; Rosaceae.